Molecule: ribosomal RNA, 484 nt
Filed under: uncultured bacterium
Lineage: Bacteria
Description: partial 16S ribosomal RNA
Rfam family: Bacterial small subunit ribosomal RNA
Source: RNAcentral
AUUGAACGCUGGCGGCAGGCCUAACACAUGCAAGUCGAGCGGAUGAAGGGAGCUUGCUCCUGGAUUCAGCGGCGGACGGGAGUGUAAUGCCUAGGAAUCUGCCUGGGAGUGGGGGAUAACGUCCGGAAACGGGCGCUAAUACCGCAUACGUCCUGAGGGAGAAAGUGGGGGAUCUUCGGACCUCACGCUAUCAGAUGAGCCUAGGUCGGAUUAGCUAGUUGGUGGGGUAAAGGCCUACCAAGGCGACGAUCCGUAACUGGUCUGAGAGGAUGAUCAGUCACACUGGAACUGAGACACGGUCCAGACUCCUACGGGAGGCAGCAGUGGGGAAUAUUGGACAAUGGGCGAAAGCCUGAUCCAGCCAUGCCGCGUGUGUGAAGAAGGUCUUCGGAUUGUAAAGCACUUUAAGUUGGGAGGAAGGGCAGUAAGUUAAUACCUUGCUGUUUUGACGGUACCGUAAGAAUAAGCACCGGCUAACUUCGUG